GACGAACGUUGGCGGCGUGCUUAAUACAUGCAAGUCAACUGAAGCAGUGGUAGCAAUAUCGCUGUGGAGGUGGCGCACGGGUGAGUAACACGUAGGUAAUCUGCCUUCAGGUCUGGCAUAACUCCGGGAAACCGGGGCUAAUAGCAGAUGAUGCAGCGGCUCGACAUCGAGACAGUUGUUAAAGCUAUGGCGCCUGAAGAUGAGCCUGCGUCUGAUUAGCUAGUUGGCGGGGUAACGGCCCACCAAGGCAACGAUCAGUAGCUGGUCUGAGAGGAUGAUCAGCCACACUGGAACUGAGACACGGUCCAGACUCCUACGGGAGGCAGCAGUAAGGAAUAUUGCUCAAUGGGAGAAAUCCUGAAGCAGCAUCGCCGCGUGAGGGACGAAGGGCUUUUGCUUGUAAACCUCUGUAGUGAGAGAAAAAAAUCCCAAUCUUUGGGACAUGAUGGUAUCUCAAAAGUAAGCCCCGGCUAACUACGUG
This 481-nucleotide ribosomal RNA is filed under the name uncultured bacterium. Its description in RNAcentral is "partial 16S ribosomal RNA". It matches the Rfam family "Bacterial small subunit ribosomal RNA", at positions 28 to 507 of the family's 1533-position model. The record is from RNAcentral.